This 604-nucleotide ribosomal RNA is filed under the name uncultured Phialocephala. RNAcentral's name for it is "eukaryotic LSU rRNA". The stretch from base 243 to 396 matches the Rfam family "5.8S ribosomal RNA". The record is from RNAcentral. Lineage: Eukaryota; Fungi; Ascomycota; Leotiomycetes; Helotiales.
CUUGGUCAUUUAGAGGAAGUAAAAGUCGUAACAAGGUUUCCGUAGGUGAACCUGCGGAAGGAUCAUUACAAGUGAGGCUACCGAACGUUGGAAACAGCGGUUAGGAGCUUACACCCACCCGUGUUUACAUACUAUUGUUGCUUUGGCGGGCCGUGGCCUCCACUGCGGGCUCUGCUCGUGUGUGCCCGCCAGAGAACCAAACUCUGAAUGUUAGUGAUGUCUGAGUACUAUCUAAUAGUUAAAACUUUCAACAACGGAUCUCUUGGUUCUGGCAUCGAUGAAGAACGCAGCGAAAUGCGAUAAGUAAUGUGAAUUGCAGAAUUCAGUGAAUCAUCGAAUCUUUGAACGCACAUUGCGCCCUGUGGUAUUCCGCAGGGCAUGCCUGUUCGAGCGUCAUUUAACCACUCACGCCUAGCGUGGUAUUGGGGCACGCGGUCUCCGCGGCCCUCAAAAUUAGUGGCGGCGCCGGUGGGCUCUAAGCGUAGUACAUACUCCCGCUAUAGAGUUCCCCCCGGUGGCUCGCCAGAACCCCCAAUUCUUUACAGGUUGACCUCGGAUCAGGUAGGGAUACCCGCUGAACUUAAGCAUAUCAAUAAGCGGAGGA